RNAcentral lists this long non-coding RNA (1337 nucleotides) under Gossypium barbadense (sea-island cotton). RNAcentral's name for it is "long non-coding RNA (GBAR_LNC004557)". The record is from RNAcentral. Lineage: Eukaryota; Viridiplantae; Streptophyta; Magnoliopsida; Malvales; Malvaceae.
AGCUCAGGCCUUGAAUAUUCAAAUCUGGAGUCCAACUCAUAUUUUUAACCAGCCCUAUUUUUCGAACAUAAUAAUUUUGCCCAAACACUCCCAAUUCGAGAAUAAUCCUGCCCAUGAAAAGGUCGUCACAGUCAUUAAUCUUAGAGUUCACAUACAAAGUCCUAAUAACUAAACUAGUGAUUGAGCUGGUCAGACAAUUCAUCAUUGAUUCAAUCGAUUCAACUGCUAGACCAACAAUAAUUAUAUAAAUAAUUAAAAUUUUAUAUUUUUUUAAAAAGUUUAUUAAACAAGUUUGUAAGAGGCCCAAUUUGCCCGGGCCCAACAACCAAAAAUUAAUCCAAAACAAAACAAAAAAACAAAAACAAAUAUUAAAGUCCAAUAAACAGUUAUAACCUGAAUAAAUCCCUUAAGCCCAAUAAUAAAACGUAGCCCAAACAUAUAUCAGGACUUAGAAAUUAAGACCCAAACCCAAUACUCAAAAUGAACUAACAUCUCAAGCCCAAGACUAACCCUAGCCAAAAAAAAAAAAACCAAUCCUUAGCCUGCUGCUUAGCGCCGCAACAGCCACCAAGGGCUUCAAGCUCCACUUCCACAACGGCCUCUACACGCGCCACCCUCUAGCUGUACCUGCAACAGACUAACAAACGAAAAUAGCAAACAACAAUUGACAGCAAAUAAUAACAAAUUACAACAAGGAAAUUUGUAUUUUUUCUUUUAUUUUUAUUUAUUUUUUGGGCUAUAAAGCUGAAGAGAAUCAAAUGUAAAGAAAAAACGAACACAGGCAUAUUGAAAGGAUAGAAAUCAAUUCAAAAACAGUUUACGAAAGGUGAUGCACAGACUAUUUCUCUGUUCUUUUUUUUUUUACUUUCUUUUGAAUCUAUUCGACGAAUCUAAAAUGGGGAAGGGGUUUACUUAUUGGUGGUUUUGGUGUUGACUUAGUCGGCGUUUGCUCUUCCGAUCCAAAGGCAGACGAAUUCCUAGGGACCGUUUGAAGCCGUGGCAGAGAUAGAAGCAUAUUUUGGUGCCGUCGAAGUCUGCAUGGGAGAUUAAGAGAAUUUAAAAGAUGAUUUAGGGUUUUGUUUUGAGAAAAUGGUCUGCUAAAUGAUUUUUAGGGCAAAUUUUAGCUUUUAUAUGUGUUUAAAAACGACGACGUUUUAAGCCGUGAGUAUUGGCGUUGAAACGGCUUCGUUUCACGACACAACCCAUCCACUCGACCCGUUUACCCUCAGGACCUGUGCGUUUUUGCGAUGAAGGGAUAUUUGUGCUAUAAGUCCCUCCCCUCCUGCACUGAUCCUUAAUUAAGCCCCGAUCAUGUUUUAUUUGUUUUUACAUUUUCC